AUACCGCCGUCGUCAGCCUACCCUAUGAAGGCCCCACAGUUAGCAGAAUUGGUAAACCCCAAAACGCCAGGUCGAGGUGUAGCAUAUGAGAGGGCAGAAAUGGGCUACACUCCUUAAUUAUAAGGGAAACGAACAACGUAUUGAAACAUACGAUUUGAAGGAGGAUUUAGUAGUAAGUAGAAAAUAGAGCGUUCUACUGAAUUCGGCCCUAAAGCGCGCACAUACCGCCCGUCACUCUCCCCAAGCGACCUAACUAACUAUUCAUAAUAAACCAUAACAGCAAAGGGGAGAUAAGUCGUAACAUGGUAAGUGUACCGGAAGGUGCACUUGGCUAAC
This 336-nucleotide ribosomal RNA is filed under the name Ambassis sp. bw45. RNAcentral describes it as "partial 12S ribosomal RNA". It matches the Rfam family "Bacterial small subunit ribosomal RNA", at positions 1043 to 1526 of the family's 1533-position model. Lineage: Eukaryota; Metazoa; Chordata; Actinopteri; Ambassidae. The record is from RNAcentral.